UACGUAGGGGGCAAGCGUUGUCCGGAAUCAUUGGGCGUAAAGAGCGUGUAGGCGGCUCGAUAAGUCUGCUGUGAAAGUCCAGGGCUCAACCCUGGAACUGCGGAUGAACUGUCGGGCUAGAGUCCGGAAGAGGCGAGUGGAAUUCCCGGUGUAGCGGUGAAAUGCGCAGAUAUCGGGAGGAACACCAAUGGCGAAGGCAGCUCGCUGGGACGGUACUGACGCUGAGACGCGAAAGCGUGGGGAGCAAACAGGG
This 253-nucleotide ribosomal RNA is filed under the name uncultured bacterium. Its description in RNAcentral is "partial 16S ribosomal RNA". It matches the Rfam family "Bacterial small subunit ribosomal RNA", at positions 524 to 777 of the family's 1533-position model. The record is from RNAcentral.